AUAUCUAAGAUCUUAAUAUUUUUUUCAUUAUCAUGGCUACAUACAACAACAAUAUAGGAUAUUUUGAUACAUUGAUAUAUAAUUAUGUUAUUUGUGUGGUUUAAAACUUGUCUAACUUAAUUGUAAAUAAAAAAAUUCAUUGCUCUAUGCACUCUCCUGAUCUAGUACUCCGACCACAUCGUGAUAGGCUCAUGAUUAAAUACUGACUUGACAUAAUUUGAACUCUGAAGAGUUUUUCAUAUGAAAAAAAAGAAGCAAAUGGAGGACAAUCGUUCGGCGUCUCUCUUCUCUCUCUUCAAGAAAAAAAAAAGCAGAUCUUCUUUAAGUUUUUCUUUUUUUUUGCUUUUAGAUCUUCAUUGCAGGUCUGGUUCUUCUUCAAUGAUGCGGUGGUGAGCGAGCUUUCCUCUCCGACAGCUGCGGUGUGGAGUAUCCGGUUCGUGAUGCAUUUGUGGCUUCUUCCUCGGCAGUUUUGAGAAAUCUCCCGAUGCUAAAUCUUUUGGUUGAGGACGCUGGAGGCAUGGUGGUGGAGAUUUCUCGCGGCUCGUCUGCUCGCGGUGGGUGCUGCGGGUUGCGGCGGAAGUCAUGAAGGCGGAUUGGUGGGUUAGGCUGUUUAUUGAGGCAAUUAACGACAGAUCCAUCUGGAUCUGAUACGGCUAAUCUCGGAUCUUGGCUGUUGAGGCUUGGUUUGAGCCAUUUAACCUCUCAGCUUCCUAGAUUUUGUUUUCGUCUGACCGGAUCUGAGGUUGGCUUUGCUCGUGAAGGUCAUGUUUGCUUGUCAGCGCUGGAGAUUGGGUGUUAGAUUUUUAGGUUCUCUCUUUUCGCUAGGUAGAGGAUUAGAGAGAUUGGGUUACGGAUCUUCUGGGAAUCGGUUCAUGCCGGGAGAAGUGUUGCAGGUUCAUGUUUGUCGCCGGGAUCGGCUUUGCGACGGGAACCGAUUACUUCUGCCAAUGAGUUCGUUUUCGCCGUCGUAGCCGCGAAGCAGUGCUUCUCGUAAUCGCUGGAAUUAAUGGAUGUGUUUCCUUGUUUUCCGAUCAACCUCCGGGUCCGAUCUAGUGUCACCGGAAUUGUCAGCCGUUUCUUUCUUUUUUUGUAUCCGUGUUAUCGUUGUAAGGCCUUGCUUAUUGCCCUUAGGCCUAAAGCCCGUUUGGGAUGAAGGUAUUAACAUAAGCAUUUAACGUCGAAAAAAAAAAAAAAAAAGAAGCAAAUGCUAAAGAGCCAUUUAGCUCAGCACUUUUAGAUUUUCUACAUAUAGCCAUAUAAAAAAAAUAGUUGUGUCUAGAAUUCCUUGAUAUGUCUAACAUCUGAAAGACACAAAAAACUUGCAUGUCAAUGCUAUUAACUUACCAUAAGACACAAAAAUGAAAAAAUUGAUGGCCAUAUGAUAAGUUGUAUAUAAACCACAAAACGUAAUAAUGAGAAAAGACGCAAGAUAAAAUUAUAAAAUUAAUAAGAUGUUAGGGAGCAAACAACUAAACUACAUAAUAAAUUUUCAGUCAUUAGUGACCAUUGUAACAAAAAAAAAAAUUUAGUAAAAUAAGAAGAGUAAAAUGAAAAUAGUGCUUGAUUUAUUAACAUAAUUUUCAUAAAAUAAAUAAAUUAAGAGUAGGACUAAUGUAGGAUUUAAUGCAUUAAGAAUUUUUAUUUUUUUCUCAUUUAAUUUUGCUAAUUUUUUUGUUUAAAUAACAAAACAAUGAACAAUCUAGAAGAAAUUGAUAUUCUGAAAACUUGAUAUUUCUCUCAAAUAAUUUCUGACUCAUUUAUACAAACACGCCCAAGGAAGUAGAAUAUAUUUAUUAAGAGGGUAACUUCCAAAUGUGGAUUUUGUCGAGUUUUUACAUACAAUUCUCGAGUUUUUACAUACAAUUCUCGAGUUUAAGAGACCUCUAAACCAGUUGAACCACAGCAGCGACUCUUAACGCACCGUUCUGGAGAAGUUCAGAGAGCUCAUCAAAGAGCAGUGCGGUGCGCCAUCCCCACCCUUUGGGAGCUUUAGGCAGAAGAGUUCCUCUCUGUUUAAAGCUCCCAAACAACAUCACUUCUCUUUUUGAUGGGCAGAUAAGCUACAAGAACAAUGAAUAUAGCUUAUAGAUGCAUCAAAACAAGACCUACGAUUUUGUUAUUUCGCUUAGAAAUGGAUUCGUACAUCGAUAUUAACGAGAACUUGAUAAUAAAUAUAUGUAACAUACCUGGUAACGUGCAGUCACUUUGUCACGAGGAUCUAUGUAAACAUGGACCUGAAUGAGGCAGAAGAGAUUGUUAUUUCACAAGACAUGACAAUUAAUGUAGCUCUGUUAUAACAAUAUACCACAUAAAACUAACCUUCCUUACUGAAUCCACUAUCUCUGCUUUGCGGCGGUGAAGAAACAAUCCUGUAGAAAUUGAUAAUCAAAGUUACACACCAAUCUAACGUGAGGAAAAUAUGUGAUCUUGUCAUUGUGUUGACUCAGGUUACCAAUCGUUCGACGUCCUUGAGGAUCUUCAUCAUUGAAUGCCUGAAUGCUAAUCUGCAUACGGUAAUACAAUUUCAUCAUUAGAAAGCGAGAACAGCUUCAAGAGAAAGCUUGACAACUGAGUAGUGAGUUUGUGAUACCUUCCACAGAGAACCAGCAUAGAAGAAUUCAGGAGAAUGCUCCACAUGACCAUUAGCGAGUCUAUGGACAUCCUCAAAUUCAACUCUGCAGACAAUGAAAAGACUCAUCUGAGUGGAACCAUUUACCAAACAGGACAAAACAAGGAGUCACAGCAAAGUUGGAAUAAACCAAGAGUGUAUCUACAACUAAACAAGACUGGAAACAGUACCCAAAACGAAAGGGAGGAAAGUGACACAAAGGUGUCCUUGUAUCGAGUGAUAUGGUACAACUUGCGUUCUCCCACUCAGUCCCUACUGAAGAUUCCUUUGGUUCUGACAUUCCAACAGUAGCUCCACUGCCACGCCCUCCUUCAGUUUGAUCACCACGAAGAUUAUUACCAACACCGCUUGUCCCUUGGCUCAGCCCAACCAGAGCUGUCAAGCCGUCUUUUGAAAUUUCUCCAAUCUGGUCAAUUCUACCUUCAGAACCAUCACUAGCAAUAGAUUGCUGACCAUUUCUGUUAAUAGGGACACGAGAGUACACAAAAGGUGUAGGAGGCCAUGCAGGUGGUGGCACAAAUGUAGCUUCGCAUCCAAUGCCUGCAAGUCCAUCAAUGUGUUGUCCCCUCACACUGAUCCUGACAGGCUUAAAGAUGCCUAUUCCUUCGCCUUGAGAAGAUUCCGCCACAUAGACAUUUUCCAUGUCUCCCAUCAUAUUGUUCUGCACAUUGUCUUGGCAAUAAUAAUUAUUGAAGGUUGCACCAUGUGAAACCCCAAAUCCCUGUUUACACGCGCAAGCAACACUAAUAAGGCAACACCUUUUGCAUGUGCUGGCAGCAACUUCCUGCACCCUUUGACUGAGAAGCAUCUGAAUAGUAGUCAAACAUAAAAAUAUUAAAUGCAUUUAUAGAAGCAAACAUGUAACACUAGAGUAAGAUUGCUCAUGAUAAAUGCCUCCAUUUUGAUUCAAAAUCCCUACGCCGCAUUAAGUCAAAUGUAUCAAAGGUAGGCGAAUCAACCAUCCCUACAUUUCUAAGACUGGCUGAAUGAGAAAGCAAGCAAGUCAACGAACCUGCAACCAGAGGCCAUCAUUCACGGCUUUACAAGGGAAACCCAACUCUUCAAGUUCUUUUCUUGCGUUCAAUAGUAUUUCAAAAGACAUAUUGCAAUACAGAAGUGAACCACCUUCAAAAGUGUUAACAAAUGCACUGUAUUCUUCCUCAGUAAAUCCAUAUUUUCCUUUAACAGAGCCUGUACCCUGCCUUGUCCCUACAACCCGCCCACCCCAGGUUAGAGCAGAAACACCACAGUUUCCCCAUUCACUGACCACAAAACCAUCAGAGGAAGAACCUAAAGUAGGAGAAUUUCUAGAGUCUGCUCCUGAUAACCAACUAUCAUUACUCAAAUGGUAUGCUUCUUCAGAAGGUCCUUCAAUUGCCACCCCACUGCCUUCUGUCUUAUCAACAACACUGGUGCAAGUACGACCAAAACUUGUUUGUGAGUUAGGAGAUUGCUGAAACACGAGAUUUGAACCAGAAACACCUCUUUGGAAAUCAAUAACACCUUCUGCGAGUGGAACAAUCACAUCAUCACUAGCAUCUCGUAGGUCGUCUUCUAUAUCUAAAUGACCUAACUUACAGUCCAAACUCCUGAAAGAGAAAUCAUCCAUCACACUUUUCCCCUUUGAUAUAGCUGAAUCCAAAGGAAAGCUUGUCUCUCUCUCAAACCUGGAAUAUUUAUUGGAAUGUUCUGAGUUGGAGAGAGCACCAUUUGAUAUGAACGCGUACAAUGCCAGUUCAAACCUUUUUGACAUGGAAAGAAACAAGGUUUAAAGAAACUUUAUAGAUGCAAAUACAGCAUGAAACCAUAAUACAGUUAGAGUAUGCAAUUCUCAAUACCGUUUUUCUUCACUAGGCACCCAUAGUUCAUCAGAUGUCAGCAAUGCACAUAGAGUCUGUGCAGAGAGUUUCGGCAGCAUCUGACCAUAAGAUGUGAUAAAAUAAGUAGCAAGUCAGAACUAGAAUACUAAAAACUAGGUUGAACACUCUUUGAUUUCAUUAUCAGAUGCUUUCGAGAUAGAAUGACAUAUAGGAUGGAAGACUGUCAAGCCAUAUACAUCAUGUCAAUAAUUAAGGAAAAACGUUUUAGCAAUGAGAUAGGUAGAACAGGAUAUAGCUAGAAUGAGGAUACUUUUGCUUUCUUGACAAAUACCCAAAAGAAACGAGGCCAUCACUAACUACAUAAAAGUCAUAAUGUCACUCUAAAGCAUAGACAUUAUUUACCUCUCUCAGUUCCACGGCACCACUUUGACAGAGAUAACCCCAGCAAGCAUUCCUUACACGUUCUCCAUGUAUGCCAUAGUCUUGGCUCUCAGCAAACACCUGAGUCACAAGUGGGAGAAGCUCCAUGUACUCAAUAUUCACGGAGACCAAGGAGGCUGAAAAAUAUACAUUACUAAUAUAUCUCAAACCUGAUAUGCCAGGAAGUUUGAAGUCCUCAGCUCAGAAAUAAUAAAAUCGGUGCAUAUGGCACACAAAUCCUGUAGCAAAACCCCCUAGUUUUUAGAUCAACUGAUCCAAAAGAAACUAAUCUUUUGAUUAAUUCACAGGAAUUAAGACUACCUGGAGAUCAAGAAAAGAAGCAGCAGCUAAAACACGAAAGGCAUUAUCAUCAUCAAGCUUAGGAUGAUACCCAUAAAGAUAAGCCAAAGCAACAGAAAUAGCAUCUCCAUUAACAUUUUUAUCAUCCACAAGUAAGUUCACAACCGGAGAGCUUGCUUCUUUCCAUGGACCUUGAAGCAUAGUCCUGAAGCAAAAUUGCAUAAUUUAAAACAAAUGGCAAAACCUGAAUAUCAAAAGCCUACCACAGAAUCCAAUAUUCUAACUGAAACCCGGUGAUUCGAGUCGAUCGCUCCAUUAUAAAUCGGAAAAUUCACCUGAAGUAGGAGCUGCGAGAUAGAAUCAACCGAUGGAGAUGGUAACUGGAUCCCAUAGCUUUAACAACAACAUCAGAAAACGCACCGGAGCCAAAACCUUCGGAUUGAAUAUGAUCGCAUAAAGAAGUAAGAUUAAAGUCGAGAGAACGAAGCUCCGAGGUACUCUGAUCACUUUCAGCAUGAGGAAGAACCGGUGGCGAAGGUUGAGGAGACGGUGGUGGUGGAACCGUCAUUCUCAUUUGAUGAUGAUGAUGCUGUUGGUGGUGCGUCACCGACGUUCUAGAGUUCCGAUACUCUUGGUCCAUGAAAAAGGAAGAUUCAAAAUCAAUUGUUCUAGGGAAGUGAUUCAAUUUCAAUUGGGGAAAAGAGAACCAUUGAAGACGGAGAAUUAGCUCUCUCCCUUGAACAGUCACACAUUUACCAACACUCGCGUGUGGCAUAGAAGUGAUAACUUAAACGUUGUCGUUUCGUAGAAGUUAGGGAACGACGUCGUGUGAAAUGAGCAAUUAACCAAGUAACCGAAUCUAAUUAAUCUAAACCGAACCGAUGCUUGUGACCGUUGGAGCCGAAACCUUACCAACGGUCUUCUGCUUUAUUUCCUCUUGAAUUUUUGAAUAUAAAAUGCGAAAAAGGGAACAAAUUUUUCUCUUUAUAUUAAACAUUUCAACCCCACCACUGAUUAUUAUUCCCCAGAACGAUUUUCCAAAAUCAAAAAUCUCUCUAUCUCUUUUGAAUUCUCAAAAAAACUUCUAUCAAUGGCGUUGAGAAACAUUGAAAACGCUCUUCCGAUCUCACAAGAACGACCUAAGAAGCUGGCUAAACUCUCAAAGCAACCGGAGAUUGGUUUGAAUGACGAAAACAACCCUGUUGUUGUGCCUGAAUCGAUCGUUGAAUACGUUGCUUCUGAGAAUCUCGAACCAUUUUCAGAUCCUGAAUCCUCUGUCCAGGUAUGAUUCUCAAUUGAUUCGAAAAAUCUGUGGAGUAAUUUGUUUUGAUGAUCAUUGAUUCAAUUCUUAUCACAGAGAUUACUAGAAGAAUUAGCAUCAAAGGAUUGGAUUAAAGUAUGUGAAUCAUUGAAUAACACAAGGAGAUUCGCAGUUUAUCACUCUUCUCUGUUGCUACCAAUUCUGUGAGUAUUUUUAAUUUUUCUAUUUUACCAGAAUCUGAAUCUUAUGGAGUUUUUUGGUGAUGAUUUUGUUUUUGUGAAUUGAAUUGUGUAGAGAAAAGCUUAUAGUUGUGAUGGUGAAGGCGAUGAAAAACCCUAGAAGUGCAUUGUGUAAGACUUCGAUUAUGACUUGUUCUGAUAUCUUCAUUGCUUAUGGAGAAAAGUUGCUGGAAGGACCUCAUUUGAAAUCAAUGGAUGAUCUGGUAAAUUUUGAUUUAUUUUUUUGGGUCAUUUUAGUUUUUUAUUGGCUAUGGAGUGUUAAUUAACAAAUAGUUUGAAUUUGGUAUCUUGAUGGUGAAAACACAGCUGUUGCAGUUGCUGAUGAAAGCUUCACAAGAUAAGAAGUUUGUGUGUGAAGAAGCAGACAAAGCUCUGAACACGAUGGUUAACUCAGUGGCUCGCUUGCCGCUUCUGCGUAAGCUUCAGACUUAUGUCCGUCACAGUAACCCUCGUGUCAGGGCCAAAGCUGCUGUCUCUACCUCCAACUGCGUUUCUAAAAUGGUAUUUUGGAUUCUUCAACAAUGUUUAAAAUGGUAAGAGCUAAAGUUUUAUUUUCUUGAAUUGUGAUUGAUCUUUUCUUCUAUAUGUUUUGUUAUCAGGAGCUAAAUGAAAUGGAAGAAUUUGGGAUGGUUCUGCUCGCACAAAUGGCUGCGGAUUUGUUGAGUGACAAGUUGCCAGAGGCAAGGGAAGCCGCGAGGAGUAUGGUGAACUCUCUUUUCCAGAAAUUUACAUGGAAUGAAGAGGAUGACGAAGAAGGAAGCAAGCAAGAAGCUUGGAAGAAGUUUUGUGAGAAGAAAGUAACAGGGCUCAACGCACAAGCCAUGAUCAAGAUUGUCUCAUCUCAAUAAAUUUCUAAAGAGGAAAUGUUGUUCUCUCUGAUUCAUGUAAAAUACGUUUUUACAUGAUGUAACAAUCUUCUAUUUCUGCAAUUCCUAUUGGAUAUGUCCUCUCAAUUCCAAUGUCAUAAUACACUAGAGGCUCAUGGUUCAUUAAGCUUCAUGAAAAGUUGUCGUUGUGGCCCAAUUGUUCUUAAUGCAUCUGUCAUCCACAUCGAUCACCUCUGGACUCUUUCGUUUUUCCAUUUCGAAGUAGUGUUGUUACUUUUUCAUCUUUGUUCUUGAAUCAGAGUUCGCAAAGCUCUUUCAACGUCUUCAAAUGGUUGUCCAGCAUACAACGUAAGCUGCCUCUUCCUCACAACUAUCACAUUCUUGUCACCAGAGCUAACUUCAUCAUAAAGAUCCUACAGUGAAUAAAUAUAAAUACAAUCUCACUGCUCUUAAAAUCCAGUAUACUUUAUACUCUCUGAUCAUGAAGAGAAAUUCAGGGUUCUGAGGAACACAAUUCUCCUAAAUAAGUAAAUUUCACAGAUGCAGACAUUAAGAAAGAAGAAUCAAGUUAGUAAAAGAAAGAGCUGUCUACCUUGGUUGACACGGGAGCUAUAUCGGCGAUGAAAUCAUCCAAGUCUUCAAAAACUGAUUCAAGCAGAUAAGAGAAGUUUCUAGCAUCACUUUGAUCCUCAAAUGCAAUCAUGUAUGAGACCUGGCCCUCAUUUUGUUCCAUAGAUUCGGUCCUCAGAGUAAAAAAUCCCUCAGAUAUGUCUUGAUCGAUAUUACUACGCAUGAGAAUCCUCUGAUGAAAAGAGAAAACGGUAAGUGCUGGCUCAUAAUAUUUUGUAAUAGUUCGUACUUGGUUGUGAAUUAGUGAUUGGAUAUGGCAAAGAGAGCUUUUAAACCACAAAUCCAAUAUUAUUCACCUACCAGCACAUAGGGAAGCUUGAGCCACCACAUUUUAUUCUCUUUCUCAGAUUGUUUCUCCCUUGCUCUUCUCAUCGGUUUUCCUUUCCUGACUUCUCCAUGUUUCCCUGACAAUGAAGUGCUACCAAAUCCGGAACCAGCUACCAUAUUUUGUGUUCCGCCCACUCGGUUUCCAGAUUUUCUUGACUUCUUAAUUUCGUUUGACGGUCGUCGUAGCUCAGAUUCCUGAGCAGCACCUAAAAUUUUAAGAUAAGCUGAGGAUUGCAAAAUAUUUCCUCUUCAUGACUAGUUAGCAUAUUCCAUAUAUAUACUACACAAGAUCAACUUUGCAUGUAUUUCAAGUUAAAAAAUAGCUACCCGUUCUUUACACUCUGCUAAACCUCAUAUUCAUUGCUAGUCAAUCCAAUAUCUAUUCGUUACAUCCCUAACAGCACCAUUUGUUCUUGCAAAUUAACACAACUCAUCAAUGUACUUUAAACAAAACGUUGUUGCAGGAUUAUCCACUUAUUCUAAAACCUACCAGAAACCAUCUCGGAAUCUGAAAGCCCUGCCUCUAUUUGUUGUUCUUCAGGAUCUCGUGAUUCACUAACAUUCCCAUUUUGCCCUGUCAUCUCAGUCCCAGAUAUAACCUCAUCAUUUCCCUUACUUCCACCAAAGCCUUUCACAUUACCCGUUGGUGGCUUCUCGGCUUUAAACUUAUACUUCUUCUCAAACAUCAAACUUUCCUCAUCAUUUCCAGAUUCAUCCAACGGUUCUACACGCAAUCCCGCUAAACCUUUCCUCUGCGAAUUCAAACGUUUCUCCAUGUUAGACAAUCUUGCUUCUAUCUCUUUCUCAAUAUCAAUCCCAGUUUCAUCCUCUUCUUCCUUACCCUCACUUUUACGUGCUUCACGUGCCAUCAAUCUGAUCUCUGCAAUCUUCUCAUUCAUCUCAAGAUCCUCUAAUGAAACCACAUUGCUCUCUCUUUCCCCAUUUUGACCACUACCACUCGAAAUUUCCGGCGUAUUCUCGGAUUUCGUUGAGUCUCCCAGAAACAAAACAGCACAAACUGUUUGAAAAGCGAAUAUUCCGAUUAACCACAAUCCAUACUUCGCCAAUGACUUCGGAGAGAGCUUACUUGAUAUACCAUUUAGCUCAUUUGACACAACCGAGCUACUUAAGACUUGAAGCUCCUCCUCUACAUGAUCAUCCUGAUUAGAAACUACGUCGCUUGGAGGAACAUUUUCCGGCGUUUCGAUUUCGAUUAAGACGGUUUCUUGAGGCUUCGGAUUUAGGGUUCUAAGGAUUUUGGGUCGCAGGUAAUUUUUCCUUCUUGAUGACUUCGACGAGAACGGACUCGAAACCGAAGAACACCGGAUAACUUUAAAAGAAACUCUCCUUCCGGUAGAGUACGACGGAAACAAAGUCAAAGGAGAUAAAAAGACGGCGCAUCGGAAAACCGCCAUGGCUACGGCGGAGAUGCUUUACCCACACAGAGUUUCUUAUUACACAUUGAUAAAUAGUAAUAAUAACAAAUAAACCCAAAACUCUUAAAAUAUUUCGUAUAUCGUUCUUUCAAAUGUGAAAUUUUCAAACUUGACCCCAAAAAGUGGAUAAUUAGGCAAAAUCUUCAAUUUUUGUCUUGAGCCGCCUGAAUUGUAGCAUCGCUCUCACACUCUCUGUGGCUCUUUCGUCUUCCACACUAUCACUUCCACAGCCACAAAGCUUCACAUACAUAAAUCCUAAUUAUCUUGUCACGACAAACAGAAACUCACAAAAAACCUCUUUUUGUUUGAAUUAACGUUUUCCUUUGUUUUGUUCUGUGUAAAUUUUGGAUGCUUUUGGUUUUAUGGAGUCGGAGAAGCCUGGGAUUGUUUCAAUUCUCACGGAUUCAGAGAAACCUCGCGUUUCAAUUUCCGCGGUUAGAGCGGUUGCGGCGGCAAGAGCUGAUUCGUUUCUUCUUACACGUACUCUCUCUGGUUCGUUUUCAUCUGCAGGUUAUGUUCCAAUUCGUGCACCUGUUACAAUUGAUGAGGAUGAUGAUACUGGUUCUGUAACUGACGAACAUAAUUCAGCAAGUAGUGAAGCUAGUAGUUAUAGUAAUGGAGUUGAUUUUGAGACUGAUGAAGAUGAGACUGAGGAGUUAGAGGAUGUGAUUUUGGGUGGGGUUAGGGUUGAUAGGCUACUAGGGGAAGAGUUCGGUGGAGAGAUUGGAGAUGAAAGUGAGUUUUCAGGUGGGAGUGUGAUUUAUAGACCAUUUGCUGGUGAUGUUGACGAGGAAACGUCGGUGAAUUACUCGUCUUUGGGGGAAGAGAGUGAGAAUAGUGAUGAGGUUGAGGGAGUUAGUGAAAGUGAAGUUAGUGAAGGUGAAAGAGGUAGCAUGAAAGCAAAAGUUGUCAUUCCUCGUGCUGUUUUGUCUUUGGAUGAUAAUGAGUUUGAUGAAAUUUUGGGUAGUGAUGAUGAAGAGGGUGUGUUGUUGCGUGUAACCAAGGCUCUAGGUGAGGAAGAAACUGAAAUCGAAGAUAGAGGCUUGCAAUUCGGAGGUAAGGGAGUGGUUGAUGAACCAGAGUGUUCGGGUUCUUUUAUAAGUGAUGUUGAUUCUAAUGAGGAAGAAGAGGUGAGAAUGAACUAUUCAGAUGAAUGUGAUGAUGGUUUAGUGUCCUUUGGGAAUAUUGAAGAAUCGAGUCUCGGUGUUGUUCCACCAGGAGGUUUUAAUGAUUUUAAGGCAGAAACUGAAGGGAACUCUAUUGAGGCAAGUAUGGAAGUGGGUAAAAGUUUCAAGCAACUUUUGGAGACUGGGGUUGUUCAAAGAACCAUCAUCAAGGAGGAUGGGAGUGGUAGCAAUAAUGAAUUCGACGCAUUGAUGAUAUUAAAUGAUGCAGAAAGAGUAGAAGAUAGUGCAGUUGAAUUAGCAGAAAUGGUAAUGACUGAUAAACCAGAAUACGUAGGUUCUAAUACAGGUGAACUUGUAUCCACAGAGGAAGAUAUGGUACAAGAGAAAUCUUCUGACGGUGGGUUGGUGUCCUUUGCGAGUAGUCUUGGUGUUGCGACAGGUGAAUGCAAUGAGUUUCUGGUGGAAAGUGAAGGAAACGCUGUUGAUGUGGAUAAAGGAUUAGAUGAAACUGUCACUGUCAGCAGCCUUGUCGAACAAGGGGUGGUUGUGGGUCAAGGAAGUACCAGCAAGGAGAGCAAUAACAGAACUGAUGUUGGUAGUGUCUGUGAAGCAGAUGAAUUGAUGAUUCUAGGUGACGGGUCUAUUGGAUCAGAAAGCAGAGACUCAAGGGAUGAAGACACUGGAAAUAUGAUAGGUGAGGCAAAAGAACACUGUGGAAAUGAUUGUGGUGCUGUUUGCGAAUUAGAAAAAACUGAAUGUGAGGGCGGACCUGAAGUUGUUAUGAGCUCUGAAAGUGUUCAGUUAACUCCCCCUCCAGAUUCUGAAACGACGAGGAACCUUGAGGUCGCUGGAGGAAUAGAUGUCGCUGUAAGUGGUUGUGGUUCUUCCGAUCGAAAAGCUGAACAAGAGUCUGAAAGUGAAGGAAAUCAAGAAUCAGACGAUACUGAUAGGAAGUUAUCACUUCCUGUUGAAGAUAGAGCAUCAAGUUUAAGAAAUUCCUUUGAAACAGCCAAUGAGACUGUGGAAAAUGGGAAGCAGAUUAAUAAGCAGGUCAUUUUUCAAUCUGAUAGCGAACCAAAUCAAAUCUCUGUGGGCAUAGAAGAAACCAGUUUGCCUUCUGUUAAAGAAAUUGAGAGAACCAUGCCUGAAAACUCUUCGGUAAUUGGUUAUGAUAUAAUGGAAAAUGAUACGCGGAUGGCACCGCUGAUUCACAAUCACACGUUUGUGAAGCUUGACGAGUACGAAGGAACAUGUGAUACAAGGGAGAGACUCUCUGAAUCCAGUUUCCAGAAUUAUUCUGAAGUAUUAUGCUCUGAUCAUUCUGUGCAGCUGAUAAGUGAGAAAGUGAAAGAGAGAGUUGAGAAGACCCAGCUCCUGAAAGAAAAGCUCCAGAGAAUUAUAAGAAGAACAGAUCUUUGCAGUGAAAAUUUAACUGUUACUGAAGUUGAGUCUAAGCUGAGCAUAGCUGGUGGAGAACAUCAAACGACCUUAGGGCUGGAUAACGUGUCUGAUAGAACAAAGAUAAUGCUGCCUGAACAUGAGUUUCCAGAUGAUCUAGACUUCUCCAUUAAUGUCCUUGUUAUCGGGAAAACCGGGGUGGGAAAAAGUGCAACGAUUAAUUCUAUCUUUGGGGAGACUAAGUCUCUUGUUGGUGCAUUUGGAGUUACCACAAAGUCUGCAAAUUACGUAGUUGGGAAUGUAGGAGGAAUCCUGAUAAGAAUACUUGACACGCCAGGUCUCAUGUCCUCUGCAACUGAGGAGCGGUUUAAUCAGAAAGUCCUCAUGUCGAUAAAGAAGAGCAUGAGAAAGUUCCCAGUUGAUGUCAUCCUCUAUAUUGACCGUCUAGAUGAGCACCCAGACAUCCAUUUACUUAGAAUCAUAACCAAUUCUCUGGGCUCAUCAGUAUGGCGAAACGCCAUUGUGGUUUUAACUCAUGCAGCUUCCAAUAUCCCAGAUUCUUCAAGCUACAAAGACUUUAUUGCUCAGAGAUGUUCUCUUAUGCAUCAAUCAAUCAGACAAGCAGUUCCAGAGUUAAGUUGUGUAGGCCAGAGCAAGAUGCCUGGAAUUGUGCUGGCAGAGAACAACAUGAGCUCUUUCUCCACAAACAAAAGAAGCGAAUCUACAUGUCCGGACUGGAGAUUGAACUUGCUGAUCUUAUGUUGUUCAGUUAAGAUCCGGUCAAAAGCCGGUUUAUUGCAAAAGCAGAUUACCGUUGUAGAAAAGGCCGAUGUAUUUGGCAACCAGCUUCACUCGUUUACUCUAUUCUGUUCCUUGUGGAAUGUGUUGCUUCUUGGGGCUAACUCAGGACACACUUCUCAUUCACAUGAUGAUUUGGAUGAGAAGAAAAGGCAGUUACUGGAUUCUUACCCUAAAAUCAUCUGGGACGAACAGAGUCAAGAAUGUCUCGAGCAAAGAGAGAGUCAAGAACCAGAAGACCAGGAGAGGCGAGAUGAAAAAGGAAAAACAAACAGAGGCUUGGAAGAAGUAACUGUUCGUGGUCGUAUGAGAAGAGGAAGACUUGGGUUCCAAGCAACAAAAAGGUUCGGUAUCUAUCUCGAUACAUCUGAUUUGCACACAGGGUUUUCCAUUGGAAGCCGAGGCUGUAGAAAGAACGAACAAGAAGAAGGAAGGAUCUUGGUGAGGAUGAGAGGCUCUAUGUCUGUUCUAGGUUUGGUUCCUAUGUUGAUUUCCGUUUUCACUUCUGUCUAUGGUGGAAAAAAUAUUUAAAAACUUAAAUUGCUCUUGUUGUAGAAUUUGUAACAUAUCAGAUGUGUUCUUCGUCUCUUUUUGGAUUCUAAUGUUGUGACCUGUGAGUAAGUUUUGUUACUGCUUCUAUUGAUUGUUUUGGUUUCUAGAGAGGAUUAGAAUCAAUCUAAUCAAAUGGUGGCUAGGAAGGUCUCUCACAUGGAGGUAAGAUACUUAUAUAAGUCUUUUGGUUGUGAUCUAAUAAAUAUAUAAAUCAUGUGUUUCGUUUCUCUUGUAAAAUCAUGAUAGUGUUCAACAACCUUCGUAAUUUAUAUAUUGAAGGUAUUCCAAAUCUACAAACUUCAGUCAUCAAUGUAUCAAUCGGCUUAGGAUUAACCAUCAAUGGAUUCAGGGUUUAUUCCAUUGGUCUGUCUUUAAUCAUCAAGAAGAACAAAAAUAAACCAAAUUUUAAAUUGAUUACAAAUGAAGAUACUUUUAAAUUGUAUUAAAAAAAAAUUUGCAUUGUGUGAACUUAAUUAAAGAGCCGUGAAAUAUUGGGUUCGUCUUGACUGAGUAUAGAGCCGUGCCUUUGUAUAUUGAAAUGAAACAUCGGCCUACGGCUCAUAUUUUCGUAAGAAACUCAAAGACAUAUUUUUGUAAUAUGAAGUAGCUUCCUUUUGACUAUCAUUUGUUUCAUGUAGUUUAGAUUGGUAAUUCAAUUUUAAAAAAAUUGUGUUCUAAUUUUUAUUUAUUUUUUAGAGUAAUAUUGUCUAGGAUCUGGGCAUUAGUGGGGAGGACUUUGCAAGCAAAUGUAAUCGUCUGUUUUGUCGGCGUCGCCUCUGCUUUCCAUAAACUUAGUGCUUCAGCAUCAACAUGUUGUCUGCUAGUUCCACGUCUAGUAUCACUGUUCUUAUAUUAGGGGUCAAACGAAUAUUUGACAUAACAAAUAAAAAAAUCAAUCAAUACUAAGAAGAACAAAAAUUACGAAGGAGAAAUAGAGUUUUAACUAAUGUGCGAGUAAAAAAUAAAAUAAUUUUUUCAAAUAUAUUAGAUUGUGGAAAAAAUUAUAUCCAUUAACUUGUUUUAUACUUUCCUAGGUUGAAAAAAAAA
Molecule: long non-coding RNA, 14811 nt
Filed under: Arabidopsis lyrata
Lineage: Eukaryota; Viridiplantae; Streptophyta; Magnoliopsida; Brassicales; Brassicaceae
Description: long non-coding RNA (ALYR_LNC000917)
Source: RNAcentral